This 357-nucleotide transfer-messenger RNA is filed under the name Gemella sp. It matches the Rfam family "transfer-messenger RNA". From Rfam's summary of the family: Bacterial tmRNA, also known as 10Sa RNA or SsrA, is named for its dual tRNA and mRNA-like properties. The record is from RNAcentral. Lineage: Bacteria; Bacillati; Bacillota; Bacilli; Caryophanales; Gemellaceae.
GGGGAUGUUUAGGAUUCGACAGGGAUGCUAGUCUGCCUGAUUGCACGUAAGAGGCUCGGCUCUUUAAAAACGGAACAGUUUAUAAUAACUGACAACAAUAAAUCAUUCGCUUUAGCAGCUUAAUAAGCUAAAGGCUGAUUAUUCAGAUUUGGUUGUGAUUUGAAUAAUCGGUUCAUUAACUAGCAACCUGCCUUUAAUUUCUUCCGUUUGUAGAAAUUAAAAUAAGAUAAUCAAACUCGUCUUUUAUUGCCAGUUUAUCGGCUAAAGUAAAAGAUUAAAUUUAAUAGAUAAACUAAACGUGUAGACAUUUUGUAGAGGUAUUUUUGGACGCGGGUUCAAAUCCCGCCAUCUCCAUAA